AUUGAACGCUGGCGGCAUGCCUUACACAUGCAAGUCGAACGGCAGCACGGGUGCUUGCACCUGUUGGCGAGUGGCGAACGGGUGAGUAAUACAUCGGAACAUGUCCCGUAGUGGGGGAUAGCCCGGCGAAAGCCGGAUUAAUACCGCAUACGAUCUACGGAUGAAAGCGGGGGACCUUCGGGCCUCGCGCUAUAGGGUUGGCCGAUGGCUGAUUAGCUAGUUGGUGGGGUAAAGGCCUACCAAGGCGACGAUCAGUAGCUGGUCUGAGAGGACGACCAGCCACACUGGAACUGAGACACGGCCCAGACUCCUACGGGAGGCAGCAGUGGGGAAUUUUGGACAAUGGGCGAAAGCCUGAUCCAGCAAUGCCGCGUGUGUGAAGAAGGCCUUCGGGUUGUAAAGCACUUUUGUCCGGAAAGAAAUCCUUGGCUCUAAUACAGUCGGGGGAUGACGGUACCGGAAGAAUAAGCACCGGCUAACUACGUG
Molecule: ribosomal RNA, 486 nt
Filed under: uncultured bacterium
Lineage: Bacteria
Description: partial 16S ribosomal RNA
Rfam family: Bacterial small subunit ribosomal RNA
Source: RNAcentral